AUCAGCUGCAAAAUAAAAUGCCCAAAGCAGGGAGCACGACCAAAUGCAGUGGUGCAGGCGAACACCCAGGCCUACAGGGCCUGGGCGUUUCCUUUUCUGCUCUGACACUGGGUCAGAUUGAAGGGUCAGUUGUUAAUUCCAGGACCUGCAGCCCUGGCGCCCGCGGGGUGACCCUGGCCAAGGCGGGGUCGCGGGAAGGGGUGAUUCAUGGGGCCCCCUGUGUCCAGACCCCAGGCUGAGGGGGGGGGUGGACUCGAACAGCUCCCCCCCGCCAGGAGGCGCUGCUCUGUGCCAGGGCAGAAAGCCCUCCCCGAGGAGGAGGAGGCGGCACUCCAUUUUCCUGCAGCUCAGCGGAAAGGCACCCCUGCCCCCGCCCUCUGGGGAGACCCGCCCACGGCCCAGCAUCUCCAUGGGCACAAGAUCAGCAGAUUUGACCAUUCUCCCCCAAGCAAGUACAUCGGAGCACAGCGAACCGCAAAGGAGAGAAGAUCCAACCCCAACUUUGAUCCACUGCCACCAGCGCUGGAACCGCCUUGAUGUCCGUUACACCACAGAGAAACCAUUCCUAGUUCUGAGGAACCAUUGCUGGUUUAAGGUGGAAAUCGGUGAGCUGAGAGGCCUGGCCUUCCUGUCAGGCUGUGUCAGAGGAGAACUCUUCAGGCACAGCCCUCAGCUCCUGCACACCUCUGCUCCCUCCUUAGAGAACAGAGCUUGAACCCUGUAGGGGAGGGAAGCUGGAAGCUCCUGAGCGCUCUGUCCAGCUCCUGAGGGCACCCACACUUGAAGGAGGCUCAGGACCACCCAGGCCUGGCCCUGGCCGGUGGUCGGAAUUGACUCAGUGCCUUCAAGACUUGAGAACUGCUGCUGUGAAUUAUGCUGGAAAGCGGGUGCGGAGAGGCAUAGAUCGUCAGUGGAGAUCAGCUACGAUAACUUGUCUUUUCACGUGAUUUUAUAACAAUGAAAUUUCAGGAUCCACUUAAAUCCAAGAGUUAGAGAGACUGUGCAGCUCUAUGAGGAGACCAUCACUGGAACAGAAAAAACAAGAAUCUUUAGCCGUUUGAGAAAGUGCUCACAGGAAAGGCAUGUUAGAAAUAGAAUUUAGAGGCUGACCC
RNAcentral lists this long non-coding RNA (1112 nucleotides) under Fukomys damarensis (Damara mole-rat). RNAcentral's name for it is "lncRNA (ENSFDAG00000028436.1)". Lineage: Eukaryota; Metazoa; Chordata; Mammalia; Rodentia; Bathyergidae. The record is from RNAcentral.